CCCUUAGACGUUCUGGGCCGCACGCGCGCUACACUGACCAGUGCAACAAGCAUCCGUCCUUGGCCGACAGGCCCGGGCAAUCUUUGAACGCUGGUCGUGAUGGGGAUAGACUUUUGCAAUUUUUGGUCUUCAACGAGGAAUUCCUAGUAAACGCAAGUCAUCAACUUGCAUUGGUUACGUCCCUGCCCUUUGUACACACCGCCCGUCGCACCUACCGAUUGAAUGGUCCGGUGAAGCCUCCGGAUUGGCGCGCACCUCGGUGCCGCCGAGAAGUUGGCUAAACCUUACCAUUUAGAGGAAGGUGAAGUCGUAACA
RNAcentral lists this ribosomal RNA (315 nucleotides) under uncultured eukaryote. Its description in RNAcentral is "partial 18S ribosomal RNA". It matches the Rfam family "Eukaryotic small subunit ribosomal RNA", at positions 1470 to 1796 of the family's 1831-position model. The record is from RNAcentral.